UACGAAGGGGGCUAGCGUUGCUCGGAAUCACUGGGCGUAAAGGGCGCGUAGGCGGUCCAACAAGUCAGGGGUGAAAUCCUGCAGCUCAACUGCAGAAGUGCCUUUGAUACUGUUGGUCUUGAGGGAGAUAGGGGUGUGCGGAACUCACAGUGGAGCGGUGAAAUGCGUUGAUAUUGUGAGGAACGCCGGAGGCGAAAGCGGCGCACUGGAUCUCUUCUGACGCUGAGGCGCGAAAGCUAGGGGAGCAAACGGG
This 253-nucleotide ribosomal RNA is filed under the name uncultured bacterium. RNAcentral describes it as "partial 16S ribosomal RNA". It matches the Rfam family "Bacterial small subunit ribosomal RNA", at positions 524 to 776 of the family's 1533-position model. The record is from RNAcentral.